This is a long non-coding RNA of Myxocyprinus asiaticus (Chinese sucker), 343 nucleotides long. RefSeq lists it as uncharacterized. Lineage: Eukaryota; Metazoa; Chordata; Actinopteri; Cypriniformes; Catostomidae. The transcript is spliced from 3 exons. The record is from RefSeq and is a predicted model, not a curated record.
AAUAUAACUAAAAAAGAAGGAUUAUUAUAAGUCGAGGGCUAGGAACCGCAUCAACAUCUUGGCUUUUCAGCGGUGGAGAGACCAGUAGCAGGAGAGUUGUGAGUGUCUGGAGCUGGUGUGCGUAAAACCGUCUCGCAUGCAUGAAUUUGAGGGGCAGAGCUUCCAAAGGAGCACUGAAGGGAGUGGUGUGUUUGUUUUGGCAGUUGAGUUCAAAUAUCAACAGUGUUUCUCAGGAAUCUCUAAGUGCACCUUUAACACCUCUGUAAUCACAGCAUGGAUGCCCUUUUGUUGAUGCCUGCAGUUAGAAAUCCCACCAAAUACCAUUUUGUCUAUAGAUAUUGUU